Molecule: unclassified non-coding RNA, 1593 nt
Filed under: Hevea brasiliensis (rubber tree)
Lineage: Eukaryota; Viridiplantae; Streptophyta; Magnoliopsida; Malpighiales; Euphorbiaceae
Source: RNAcentral
UAGAUGGCAUGGGAUGGGAAUGGGAGAGUUGAAUAAAUUGAAGAAAAUAAUUAAAAGAAAAAGACAACUGUUUGUAAAAGGGUAAAAGCCGAUCUGAUGGAAGGAAAAGGCAAAAUGGAGAAAGAAAAAGACAAAUUGGAUACGUCGCCACCAUUUCGUCGGCCAUUUGACUGAUGGGGAGUGCUGACCAAGUCAAGGAAAUUGCUGCGCUCAUGGAUUUUGUUGAACUAUUCCAAGAUACACAUCACUGUCCAGAAACACCAAGAGUUCAUAAAGAAAGCUGCUUCUGUAUGCAAGGACAAAAAAACAUGCAGGCUUUGAAGCUGUUCCCACCGUGUUGGGACAAGGAUAUAACGGAAGGACACCUUAGUCAUCAUCCUGUUAAAGGUCAAUAACAGAGGCUAUGGCCGGUACCAAUUAUCAUGAAUUUUUAUUCAGUGAAAUUGAUAUAAAUACACUAAUUUCGCUAUAACAGUAAAAUUUACUAUAAUUAAUGAUCAUAAUGAAAUCAUUAUUUUCAUUGUAUAAUUCUUCCCCCUGGCACUGCUAUGUUUUUGGCGCUCAUUUCCACUCCUGAAUUUCUUUCUCUGCCGAAAUUUUACUCUUAACUUGCUAUCCAAAUUGUGCUCUAAUAAACGUAUCCCACAUUGAGAAUCUUUCUGCCGUGAUCCACCGCAGGCUGUCACAUGAAAGCCUCAAUUGUUUGAUCUUUUCAUCCCACAGUUAGAAAACUAAAACCAGCUUCCUUUCUCAGUUGUCUUCCUUCCAUACCAGACCUCACUCUAUUGGCAUCUACCCAACGUCCAGCUGCUGCAUAUAUAUUGGAAAGCAUCACAUACGUUUCUGAAUUUUCUGGUUCCAUCUCGAAGAGCAUCCCACAGAUUUUCUCUGCGACUUCAACAUCCCCGUGGAUUUUACAAGCACCCAACAGGGAUUCCAGUAGGCUAAUUGAAGGUUUACAAGGUAGCUUCUCAACAACACCAUAAGCCUCUUUCGUGUUACCUGUUCUCCCAAGUAGGUCCACCAUGCAGGCAUAGUGCUCCAUUUUUGGCGAUAUUCCCUGUUCUAACAUGGAGUUGAAGACUAGCCAACCUUGCUUAACUAAACCAGCAUGACUGCAAGCUGAUAAAAUACUUGAAAAAGUUAUAUCAUCAGCUCUUACCCCUGAAAAUUGCAUCUCAGAGAAAAGUUCAAGGGCAGCUCGACCAUUCCCAUGUAGACCAAACCCAUUAAUCAUCACACUCCAAGAGACAGAAUCCUUUACAGGCAAGCCCUCAAAUAUCUUUCUAGCAGCAAAAAUGCUUCCACAUCUUGCAUAUAAAUCUAUAAGGGCAUUGCUGAUGACCACAUCUUUGUCAAAUCCUUUGCGUAUCACGUACGCCAUUACAGAAUGAGCAAGUUUCAGGCUAUUUAGUUGAGCAUAUGCUGAAAUUAAACUUAGAACUGUGAUAUAGUCAGGUUGCAAGCCCAUUAGAAGCAAAUCACAGAAGAAGGCAAUUGCUUUUUCAGUAUGCUUUGUUUGGAUAUGCACAGAAAGAAUGGCAUUCCACAAAGAUACGUCUCUCUUUGUAUUCAUUUCAAAUAGUAAAAGAG